AUACGGAGGAUCCGAGCGUUAUCCGGAUUUAUUGGGUUUAAAGGGUGCGCAGGCGGCCAUUUAAGUCAGCGGUUAAAUCGUGGGGCUCAACCCCAUUCUGCCGUUGAUACUGGGUGGCUUGAUUGCGGUCGAGGUUGGCGGAAUUCGUUGUGUAGCGGUGAAAUGCAUAGAUAUGACGAAGAACACCGAUUGCGUAGGCAGCUGACCAGACCGCAAAUGACGCUCAUGCACGAAAGUGCGGGGAUCGAACAGGAUUAGAUACCCUGGUAGUCCGCACAGUAAACGAUGAAUACUUGUUUUCGGCGAUAUAAUGUCGGAGGCAAAGCGAAAGCGAUAAGUAUUCCACCUGGGGAGUACGCCGGCAACGGUAAACUCAAAGGAAUUGACGGGG
This 391-nucleotide ribosomal RNA is filed under the name uncultured bacterium. RNAcentral's name for it is "partial 16S ribosomal RNA". It matches the Rfam family "Bacterial small subunit ribosomal RNA", at positions 523 to 918 of the family's 1533-position model. The record is from RNAcentral.